GAUGAACGCUGGCGGCGUGCCUAAUACAUGCAAGUCGAGCGAACAGAUGAGGAGCUUGCUCCUCUGACGUUAGCGGCGGACGGGUGAGUAACACGUGGAUAACCUACCUAUAAGACUGGGAUAACUUCGGGAAACCGGAGCUAAUACCGGAUAAUAUAUUGAACCGCAUGGUUCAAUAGUGAAAGACGGUUUUGCUGUCACUUAUAGAUGGAUCCGCGCCGCAUUAGCUAGUUGGUAAGGUAACGGCUUACCAAGGCAACGAUGCGUAGCCGACCUGAGAGGGGGAUCGGCCACACUGGAACUGAGACACGGUCCAGACUCCUACGGGAGGCAGCAGUAGGGAAUCUUCCGCAAUGGGCGAAAGCUUGACGGAGCAACGCCGCGUGAGUGAUGAAGGUCUUCGGAUCGUAAAACUCUGUUAUUAGGGAAGAACAAAUGUGUAAGUAACUAUGCACGUCUUGACGGUACCUAAUCAGAAAGCCACGGCUAACUACGU
RNAcentral lists this ribosomal RNA (496 nucleotides) under uncultured bacterium. Its description in RNAcentral is "partial 16S ribosomal RNA". It matches the Rfam family "Bacterial small subunit ribosomal RNA", at positions 28 to 506 of the family's 1533-position model. The record is from RNAcentral.